UAACUCCGUGCCAGCAGCCGCGGUAAUACGGAGGGUGCGAGCGUUAAUCGGAAUCACUGGGCGUAAAGCGCAUGCAGGCGGUUUGCUAAGCGAGAUGUGAAAGCCCCGGGCUUAACCUGGGAACUGCAUUUCGAACUGGCGAACUAGAGUCUUGUAGAGGGGGGUAGAAUUUCAGGUGUAGCGGUGAAAUGCGUAGAGAUCUGAGGGAAUACCAGUGGCGAAGGCGGCCCCCUGGACAAAGACUGACGCUCAGAUGCGAAAGCGUGGGGAGCAAACAGGAUUAGAUACCCUGGUAGUCCACGCCGUAAACGAUGUCAACUA
Molecule: ribosomal RNA, 321 nt
Filed under: uncultured Gammaproteobacteria bacterium
Lineage: Bacteria; Pseudomonadati; Pseudomonadota; Gammaproteobacteria
Description: bacterial SSU rRNA
Rfam family: Bacterial small subunit ribosomal RNA
Source: RNAcentral